Long non-coding RNA from Mercenaria mercenaria, 258 nucleotides. RefSeq lists it as uncharacterized. The transcript has 3 exons. Lineage: Eukaryota; Metazoa; Mollusca; Bivalvia; Venerida; Veneridae. The record is from RefSeq and is a predicted model, not a curated record.
AGGUGCGUCGAGGUACGACGAAGCUAAUUGUGAACAUGUGAUGAUCAAAAGUUCUUGUGAGGAAUGGUUCAGAGAUGGGUUUCGACAAUCUGGAACAUACAAGAUAGAUCUAGGAAGGACUGUUGGAUUGAUUGAUAGAACAUUUUUAUCAGUCGAGUGUGAAUUUGACGAAAUUGCGGGAAUCAUUUCAACCGUUAUUCACCAUACAGAAGAAGCAUCCGUACCAAAUAAUAGAGCCAGAGGAAUAUACCAUAUUCC